Long non-coding RNA from Oncorhynchus keta (chum salmon), 5911 nucleotides. RefSeq lists it as uncharacterized. NCBI's taxonomy places the organism in Eukaryota, Metazoa, Chordata, Actinopteri, Salmoniformes, Salmonidae. The record is from RefSeq and is a predicted model, not a curated record. The transcript is spliced from 4 exons.
CGCGCGCGGCCAGCAAAAGAAGUCUGCACCACUACAACAGAAAACAGCGCCUCAAAUCAAGAUGGAUUUUUAAUUCGGAACACUUUAAUACUGUGAUCACUGCAAAUUCCUCUUUUACACACCUCUACACUAAAAAAUAAACAUUGGACACUAAACACUACUUUGUUCAUUUAUAAUCAUGUUUUAUGUGCAUUUCAAUUCCAAAAGGUUUGAUUUCUACAGAGUGAUUUAUUUGUGUCUACAAACUAGACUCAGGGCUCAUGUUUCCAACAGAAUACUGUACCCCUAUGAACCCCUGCUCUGGCCAAUACAACACUACCAGCAAUACUUAAGAGUGCCGUCCAAAACAGCACCCUAUUCCCUAUAUAGUGCACUACUUUUGACGAGUAGUGUACUAUCUGGGGGAAUAGGCUGCCAUUUGGGAUGAACUUUGAGAGAAAUAAAGUGUAUUUAGAUAACAUACAGACAGGAGUCGGUUCAUUUCCAAGACAUUUGAUACUGUCCAGUCGCAAAAACCGUUUGUACAAAACAGUGUGUAACGAUUACUUUCCAGAAAACAUUCAGAUAAAAAUAUAAUUAUAAAACAGAACAUUUUAACAUUCCCAGACUUUUGCCAGGAACCCGGUGCGCUGACUUCUAGUGAAUACACACUAGGUACUGAUGAGUAUUGGGGUGUAAACAUUAGUGCAAACAGUUGCGUUUUACAACAAAAACAAGUUUCUAUUGGAGAGAUUCAGGAACCCCAACAGAGGUUAGAGUAUAGUUUAGAGACUCCCUCACCCCAACAGAGGUUAGAGUAUAGAUUAGAGACUCCCUCAUCCCAACAGAGGUUAUAGUAUAGAUUAGAGACCCCUCACCCCAACAGAGGUUAUAGUAUAGAUUAGAGACCCCUCACCCCAACAGAGGUUAUAGUAUAGUUUAGAGACUCCCUCAUCCCAACAGAGGUUAUAGUAUAGAUUAGAGACUCUUCACCCCAACAGAGGUUAUAGUAUAGAUUAGAGACUCCCUCAUCCCAACAGAGGUUAGAGUAUAGUUUAGAGACUCCCUCAUCCCAACAGAGGUUAGAGUAUAGUUUAGAGACUCCCUCACCCCAACAGAGGUUAUAGUAUAGAUUAGAGACUCCCUCACCCCAACAGAGGUUAUAGUAUAGAUUAGAGACCCCUCACCCCAACAGAGGUUAGAGUAUAGAUUAGAGACCCCUCACCCCAACAGAGGUUAUAGUAUAGAUUAGAGACUCCUCACCCCAACAGAGGUUAUAGUAUAGAUUAGAGACUCCCUCACCCCAACAGAGGUUAUAGUAUAGAUUAGAGACCCCUCACCCCAACAGAGGUUAGAGUAUAGAUUAGAGACCCCUCACCCCAACAGAGGUUAUAGUAUAGAUUAGAGACUCCUCACCCCAACAGAGGUUAUAGUAUAGAUUAGAGACUCCCUCAUCCCAACAGAGGUUAGAGUAUAGUUUAGAGACUCCCUCAUCCCAACAGAGGUUAGAGUAUAGUUUAGAGACUCCCUCACCCCAACAGAGGUUAUAGUAUAGAUUAGAGACUCCCUCACCCCAACAGAGGUUAUAGUAUAGAUUAGAGACUCCCUCACCCCAACAGAGGUUAUAGUAUAGAUUAGAGACUCCCUCACCCCAACAGAGGUUAGAGUAUAGUUUAGAGACUCCCUCACCCCAACAGAGGUUAUAGUAUAGAUUAGAGACUCCCUCACCCCAACAGAGGUUUUAGUAUAGAUUAGAGACUCCCUCAACAGAGGUUAGAGUAUAGAUUAGAGACCCCUCACACCAACCGAGGUUAUAGUAUAGAUUAGAGACCACUCACCCCAACAGAGGUUAUAGUAUAGAUUAGAGACCCCUCACCCCAACAUAGGUUAUAGUAUAGAUUAGAGACCCCUCACCCCAACAGAGGUUAGAGUAUUGGGAAUAUGGGGUUGGCUGGUCAGCAAAACCAAUUACACACACUUCACUGACACAAGGGACACAUACACACACUGAGAGAGAGAGAGAGGAAGAGAGAGAGGAAGAGAGAGAGAGAGACAGAGAGAGAGGAAGAGAGAGACAGAGACAGAGACAGAGAGAGAGAGAGAGAGAGAGAGAGAGAGAGAGAGAGAGAGAGGCACAUCUGUGUGAUGACUAGGUGUUUCCAUCCCUGUCCUGGUGUCACUCUGGACAAUCUUACAUAACAGUCUGUACGGAGGUGGAGAGAUAGUGUCUGUACGGAGGUGGAGAGAUAGUGUCUGUACGGAGGUAGAGAGAUAGUGUCUGUACGGAGGUGGAGAGAUAGUGUCUGUACGGAGGUGGAGAGAUAGUGUCUGUACUGAGGUGGAGAGAUAGUGUCUGUACGGAGGUGGAGAGAGUGUCUGUACGGAGGUGGAGAGAUAGUGGUUCUUCAUUAUGAUAGUGUCUGUACGGAGGUGGAGAGAUAGUGUCUGUACGGAGGUGGAGAGAUAGUGUCUGUACGGAGGUGGAGAGAUAGUGUCUGAACGGAGGUGGAGAGAUAGUGGUUCUUCAUUAUGAUAGUGUCUGUACGGAGGUGCAGAGAUAGUGGUUCUUCAUUAUAAUAGUGUCUGUACGGAGGUGGAGAGAUAGUGUCUGUACGGAGGUGGAGAGAUAGUGUCUGUACGGAGGUGGAGAGAUAGUGUCUGAACGGAGGUGGAGAGAUAGUGGUUCUUCAUUAUGAUAGUGUCUGUACGGAGGUGCAGAGAUAGUGGUUCUUCAUUAUAAUAGUGUCUGUACGGAGGUGGAGAGAUAGUGUCUGUACGGAGGUGGAGAGAGUGUCUGAACGGAGGUGGAGAGAUAGUGGUUCUUCAUUAUAAUAGUGUCUGUACGGAGGUGCAGAGAUAGUGGUUCUUCAUUAUAAUAGUGUCUGUACGGAGGUGCAGAGAUAGUGGUUCUUCAUUAUAAUAGUGUCUGUACGGAGGUGGAGAGAUAGUGUCUGUACGGAGGUGGAGAGAUAGUGUCUGUACGGAGGUGGAGAGAUAGUGUCUGUACGGAGGUGGAGAGAGUGUCUGUACGGAGGUGGAGAGAUAGUGUCUGUACGGAGGUGGAGAGAUAGUGGUUCUUCAUUAUAAUAGUGUCUGAACGGAGGUGGAGAGAUAGUGUCUGAACGGAGGUGGAGAGAUAGUGGUUCUUCAUUAUGAUAGUGUCUGUACGGAGGUGCAGAGAUAGUGGUUCUUCAUUAUAAUAGUGUCUGUAGAGAGAGAGAGAAACAAAACAUACAGACAGGAGUCGGUUCAUUUCCAACACAUUUGAUACUGUCCAGUCGCAACAACAACCGGUUGUACAAAACAGUGUGUAACGAUUACUUUCCAGAAAACAUUCAAAUAAAAAUAUAAUAAAGAAAAAACUGAACAUUUGAACAUUCACAUUCCCAGACUUUCUCCUCAUCUUCAACUGUCUUAACAGAAGUAAUGACAGAACAGAAAAAUAAUAAAAUACAUGGAAAAAGGAAAGACCAACGUGACAGAGCAUUCAGAACGGAGGAAAAGAGCUGGUACUGUGUAAGGCAAGUGUGGGUGUGUGUGUGUGUGUGUGUGUGUGUGUGUGUGUGUGUGUGUGUGUGUGUGUCUGCGAGAACAUGGAACUCACACUACGGAAAAAGAAGGAACAGCACGUCAGAAAUCAGCUCAAUGCAAUUGAAGAAUCCAUCGACUCUAACCACUUCUGGGAAAAUUGGAAAACACUAAACAAACAACAACACAAAGAAUUAUCUAUCCAAAAUGGAGAUGUGUAGGUAAACCACUUCUCCAAUCUUUCUGGCUCUAUAACAAAGAACAAAGAGCAAAAACAUAUACAUGAUCAAAUACAGAUCUUAGAAUCAACUAUUAAAGACUACCAGAACCCAAAUAUACAGACAACAAAUUCCAAUUGGCUAUACUAAAACUCUUUAACAUCAUACUUAGCUCUGGCAUCUUCCCCAAUAUUUGGAACCAAGGACUGAUCACCCCAAUCCACAAAAGUGGAGACAAAUUUGACCCCAAUAACUACCGUGGAAUAUGUGUCAACAGUAACCUUGGGAAAAUCCUCUGCAUUAUUAUUAACAGCAGACUCGUACCGUUCCUCAAUGAAAACAAUGUACUGAGCAAAUGUCAAAUUGGCUUUUUACCAAAUUACCGUACAACAGACCACGUAUUCACCCUGCACACCCUAAUUGACAACCAAACAAACCAAAACAAAGGCAAAGUCUUCUCAUGCUUUGUUGAUUUCAAAAAAGCCUUCGACUCAAUCUGGCAUGAGGGUCUGCUAUACAAACUGAUGGAAAGUGGUGUUGGGGGUAAAACAUACGACAUUAUAAAAUCCAUGUACACAAACAACAAGUGUGCAGUUACAAUUGGCAAAAAACACAGACAUUUCUUCACACAGGGUCGUGGGGUUAGACAGGGAUGCAGCUUAAGCUCCACCCUCUUCAGCAUAUAUAUCAACGAAUUGGCGCGGGCACUAGAAAAGUCUGCAGCAGCCGGCCUCCCCCUGCUAGAAUCCGAAGUCAAAUGUUUGCUGAUGAUCUGGUGCUUCUGUCACCAACCAAUGAGGGCCUACAGCAGCACCUAGAUCUUAUGCACAGAUUCUGUCAGACCUGGGCCCCGACAGUAAAUCUCAGUAAGACCAAAAUAAUGGUGUUCCAAAAAAGGUCCAGUCACCAGGACCACAAAUACAAAUUCCUUCUAGACACUGUUGCCCUAGAGCACACAAAAACUAUACAUACCUUGGCCUAAACAUCAGCGCCACAGUUAACUUCCACAAAGCUGUGAACGAUCUGAGAGACAAAGCAAGAAGGGCAUUCUAUGCUUGAAUCAGUCAUAGAGCCCAUUGCCCUUUAUGGUUGUGAGGUCUGGGGUCCGCUCACCAACCAAGACUUCACAAAAUGGGACAAACACCAAAUUGAGACUCUGCACGCAGAAUUCUGCAAAAAUAUCCUCCGUGUACAACGUAAAACACCAAAUAAUGCAUGCAGAGCAGAAUUAGGCCGAUACCCACUAAUUAUCAAAAUCCAGAAAAGAGCCGUUAAAUUCUACAACCACCUAAAAGGAAGCGAUUCACAAACCUUCCAUAACAAAGCCAUCACCUACAGAGAGAUGAACCUAAGAGUCCCCUAAGCAAGCUGGUCCUGGGGCUCUGUUCACAAACACAAACACAGAGCCCCAGGACAACAGCACAAUUAGACCCAACCAAAUCAUGAGAAAACAAAAAGAUAAUUACUUAACACAUUGGAAAUAAUUAACAAAAAAACAGAGCAAACUAGAAUGCUAUUUGGCCCUACACAGAGAGUACACAGCGGCAGAAUACCUGACCACUGUGACUGACCCAAAAUGAAGGAAAGCUUUGACUAUGUACAGACUCAGUGAGCAUAGCCUUGCUAUUGAGAAAGGCCGCCGUAGGCAGACAUGGCUCUCAAGAGAAGACAGGCUAUGUGCUCACUGCCCACAAAAUUAGGUGGAAACUGAGCUGCACUUCCUAACCUCCUGCCCAAUGUAUGACCAUAUUAGAGAGACAUAUUUCCCUCAGAUUACACAGAUCCACAAAGAAUUCGAAAACAAAUCCAAUUUUGAAAAACUCCCAUAUCUACUGGGUGAAAUUCCACAGUGUGCCAUCACAGCAGCAAGAUUUGUGACCUGUUGCCACGAGAAAAGGGCAACCAGUGAAGAACAAACACCAUUGUAAAUACAACCCAUAUUUAUGCUUAUUUAUUUUAUCUUGUGUCCUUUAACCAUUUGUACAUUGUUAAAACACUGUAUAUAUAUAUAUAUAUAAUAUGACAUUUGUAAUGUCUUUACUGUUUUGAAACUUCUGUAUGUGUAAUGUUUACUGUUAAUUUUUGUUGUUUUUCACUUCAUAUAUUCACUUUGUAUGUUGUCUACCUCACUUGCUUUGGCAAUGUUAACACAUGUUUCCCAUGCCAAUAAAGCCCUUGAAUUGAAU